AGCUUAUUUUCGACGGAUUGGAGGCAAUUAUCACGGCAGAUGGAGGGAAACAAUCCAAGCAAUCCAGGAGAAAAUCAUCAAGUACCGUAACCAGAAUGCUGCUUCCAAAGACGGUUCGCAUCAGUUCUGAUCCUCCUAGAAGCUCUCGAUGGAUUUGCUGGCAAAUAUAGCGGAGUUUAAUGGAUAUCGGGCAUCGGAAUGGAUUCAGAAUCUAUGGAACCGAUCAUCUUCUCAUUCCUGAAAAUGACCAGCACUCACCCCAGUAGAAUGUUCUACAAAAUAUUCCUCGCUUAAGGCUGUUGCGAUUGAUGUCACACCAAAUGCCCGUUACCGAUUCCGUUACACCAUCCUCAAUGUCUGUUCCGGUGUUCCCCUCAUGUGGAUCGGAAGAGUAAAAAUGGCGUGAACAAGUUGAGCAUCAGCUCAU
Molecule: long non-coding RNA, 427 nt
Organism: Ochlerotatus camptorhynchus
Lineage: Eukaryota; Metazoa; Arthropoda; Insecta; Diptera; Culicidae
Exons: 3
Source: RefSeq, a predicted model, not a curated record